Non-coding RNA from Theobroma cacao (cacao), 1805 nucleotides. The record is from RefSeq and is a predicted model, not a curated record. NCBI's taxonomy places the organism in Eukaryota, Viridiplantae, Streptophyta, Magnoliopsida, Malvales, Malvaceae.
UCUCAUCAUAUAUUUCUUUCUUAUGUUAUGUGUAGUGACGCGGCUAGAUCUUGACUAUCUCAGCAUCUCUUUUCCCUAUGUCUUCUCUCUUUCUUUACUUAACAGCACUUCUUCUUUGAACAUUCUUCCUUUUGCCAAACCUUUCAAAAACGUUUAAGCCCAUUUUUUGCCAUUUUUUAAAAAUUUUUUUGAGCUUUGGGUUUUCUCCAAUCUACAAGCUAAAGUAGAUUUGUCAACUUUGAUGAUGGAAAAAAAAAUUUUUGAACCCACAAAUUUAAGAAGCAUGAACUAUUACAAGAAAGAAAAGUAGUAAUAGUAGUAGUAGUAGUUGGCAAGUGUUUUGUUCAUGAUUUAACAUUCAACAAAGACAUAUUACUUUCACUAAUAUAUAUGCUUAUAUGUGUAUAUUUUUCUCAUUUUUGGCUUAUUUUCAGUUUGCCCUUUUCAGCAGGUUUUGUUUAGGAACCUUAUAUUCUACCUAGGCUUCUCCUUUUGACCUUGCAUCCAUUUGUUAAUGCCACGUUAGCAUAAGCUUGUAGAAGCCACAUAAAAAAAAAAAAAAAACUAAAAGACCUCAGCCCUUUGCUCUUUCUUCUUUUCUUUGCUUUUUCUCUCUUUCCCUGCAAAUUUCACAUUCCUUCUGAUUACUAAACAGUACUUAGAUUAUCAGUCGUUUUUUGCUGCUGCAGCAUUAUCAAGAUUCAUAUGCAAAUAUAGUACGGCAGCCGUGGUCCCGGUACCGCGAUUGUUUUUUUUCAGAUGCCAUAGCUUUUAUUUGAGCAUGAGAAUCUUGAUGAUGCUGCAUCGGCCAUAAAUGACUUCACAAAAAAAUCCAUAUAAAUCUUUAUAGAUCUUGAUUUACACUGCUUUUGCAGCUAUAGAAGGUGAACUCUUCUUAAUCCAAAGGACUUUUUCGGGUUUCCUUCCUGUUUCCCUUGUCUUCUUUGAUAUUGAUAUAUAUUUUAUCGGAAUGUUCUUGUAGAUCUUUUCAUAUGAUAUUUUUGUUUGGCAUAUGUAUCUGCAUAAGCUGAAUUAUUCCAUAAGCUGAAUUAUUCUACUGCUGUUUCUUGCUUUUUCUUUUUGCAGCACAUGAUGAUCAGGGAUGCAAUUAUCAAACUUACAGUUUGAAGAAAUUAUGCUUAUGCUCCCAUGUUUCAGAUUGGGGAUAAAUUUCAAAGCACAGAUUUCAUAAAUAUCCAGGGAAUACUUAACCUUGUAGCAAACGCAUCCAAAGGAGGACCUUGAAAAGAGAAACAGUUUUAGAAGCCCAUGCAUUUGUUAUAAUCUUCCAUGGAGUUUUUGCUUGGAAGCUGCUGUGGAAACUUGGUUGAGGAACUACUGAUGUGAUAUAUGGUUUCAAAGGCAAGUAGUUUUCUUGCUUAUCAGCCAUGGAUUUUUAAGGAAGAAAUAUCUUAAGCCGUAUCAUGUGGGGCAUUUAAUGACAAAAGCUGUUUUGUCAUUUUGACAAGUGAAAAGAAACUGUGAUGAAUCAUUCCUUCUUCAACAGGUCCACUCAGUCUGGGGAAAAACAACUUAAACGUGCACGAUGUGAUCAUAGCAAAUCAAUCUUACUCUGCAGAUGUUCCAUGCAUUCAUAAAUAAUUCAUUUCUGAUUUGUGUAUCUGACUCUUUCAUUUCUUGAUCAAAGCUUUAAUGGCGUAAGGUCAUUAGAUAUCUCAAGUAUAUAUCUAAGUUCAAAAUCUUAUGCCACAGCUUUUGCAUGACAAUCAAAUAUUUGCUUGUAAGUAAUUACAGAAAAUGCAUUUACUGCUAACAGUAUUAAUCUGACUAGUUCAAGUUCACAA